RNAcentral lists this ribosomal RNA (519 nucleotides) under Cylindrocarpon faginatum. Its description in RNAcentral is "LSU rRNA". It matches the Rfam family "Eukaryotic large subunit ribosomal RNA", at positions 80 to 624 of the family's 3401-position model. The record is from RNAcentral. Lineage: Eukaryota; Fungi; Ascomycota; Sordariomycetes; Hypocreales; Nectriaceae.
CUAGUAACGGCGAGUGAAGCGGCAACAGCUCAAAUUUGAAAUCUGGCCCCCGGGUCCGAGUUGUAAUUUGUAGAGGAUGCUUUUGGUGCGGUACCUUCCGAGUUCUCUGGAACGAGACGCCAUAGAGGGUGAGAGCCCCGUCUGGUUGGACGCCAAACCUUUGUAAAGCUCCUUCGACGAGUCGAGUAGUUUGGGAAUGCUGCUCUAAAUGGGAGGUAUAUGUCUUCUAAAGCUAAAUAUUGGCCAGAGACCGAUAGCGCACAAGUAGAGUGAUCGAAAGAUGAAAAGCACUUUGAAAAGAGAGUUAAAAAGUACGUGAAAUUGUUGAAAGGGAAGCGCUCAUGACCAGACUUGGGCCCGGUUGAUCAUCCAGGGUUCUCCCUGGUGCACUCUUCCGGCCCAGGCCAGCAUCAGUUCGCUGUGGGGGAUAAAGGCUUCGGGAAUGUGGCUCCCUCGGGAGUGUUAUAGCCCGUCGUGUAAUACCCUGCGGCGGACUGAGGUUCGCGCAUUCGCAAGGAU